Molecule: long non-coding RNA, 366 nt
Filed under: Panax ginseng (ginseng)
Lineage: Eukaryota; Viridiplantae; Streptophyta; Magnoliopsida; Apiales; Araliaceae
Description: long non-coding RNA (PGIN_LNC005028)
Source: RNAcentral
UACUGUCGAAGGCAAUUCUUGGUGCAUCAUAUCUGAUAAAACCUAGAUGACAACUAGUCAUCAAGUACAUUUUUGAACCGUUCCUCCACUUAUAUUGUUAUUCUGUUGUGUUUUAAUGAAUUUAUUUAACCAUUUUUCCCAGCGAUGAUGUAAUCAAUAUGUAAAGUGAUGAAACAUUCCUUGACUUCUGGGAAUCAGAUGUACUAAUUCCCUUUACCAUCCUCUAUCUUACUGGUAUUGAGAUUCCUUCCUGUUUAUACGAGCUAUGGAAAUGGAUAGUUCAACUUUAUGCUGAACUAGUUCAUAAGCCCUUGCCAAGCACCGGCCUGUUUAUUAGUUUAUGUAAUUUUUGGGGCCAAAGACUGG